UACGUAGGGGGCAAGCGUUGUCCGGAAUCAUUGGGCGUAAAGCGCGUGUGGGCGGCUAGAUAAGUCUGCUCUGAAAGCCCGGGGCUCAACCCCGGGAGGCGGGUGGAUACUGUCUAGCUCGAGUCCGGAAGAGGAGUGUGGAAUUCCUGGUGUAGCGGUGAAAUGCGCAGAUAUCAGGAGGAACACCAGUGGCGAAGGCGGCUUACUGGACCGGAACUGACGCUGAGGCGCGAAAGCGUGGGGAGCAAACGGG
Molecule: ribosomal RNA, 253 nt
Filed under: uncultured bacterium
Lineage: Bacteria
Description: partial 16S ribosomal RNA
Rfam family: Bacterial small subunit ribosomal RNA
Source: RNAcentral